GAACCUUGUUGCUAAGGACAGGACGGUUUGCGGCAACCUAGGACGCUGCGGAGUUUGAAUUGAGAGGAGAGGGAAAAGUUUUCCUCAGUGGUACCAAAGAGAACGAUGAUCAUUUCAUUGCUACAGUUUCACCAAAUUCUGCAGUCACAGAGUCAAGCAAGGAUGGUAUAGAACCAAGAGUUGUCCUCAGGACCCAUUUCAGCUUUUCAAAUAAAGCCUCCCAGGAGCUGCUGACUGGUUGUGAACAGAGUAUGGCUAUUUCUUUGACCUACAGCCCUGGCUUUCUGUAAUCCACAGAUUCUCAGGUGCUACUGUGCUAUUAGAUCUGACCAUGAGAUGUAAAAGUGGAAAUGGUGUGUGCAACAUUGAGGAAGUUCUUCAAAAGAAGAUGAUUCACCAUUCUUUCCUUCUUCCUGCUGGUUGAAAUUAGACCUGCUGGCUCAAGAUCCUUACAGAAGGCAGAGCAACAAGACUGAAAGAGCUGAGUCCUUGACACUGGAAUACCAAAAUCACCCUUGAAUUUCUACCUCCAUCCACUUUUACAUGGAGAGAAAUAAACUUUUAUUUAAGCUACAA
Molecule: long non-coding RNA, 576 nt
Organism: Marmota flaviventris (yellow-bellied marmot)
Lineage: Eukaryota; Metazoa; Chordata; Mammalia; Rodentia; Sciuridae
Source: RefSeq, a predicted model, not a curated record